UUAUUAUUCAGUGCCACUCUCAUCUAAUUAACUACUCCAUAUAUAUCUUACAAUCACUCAAAAGAGUUCUUUCUUCAUCUUCUUCACUUCCCCAUUUUCUCAAUUAUUCAACAAUAUAUAAUAAUCUCUCAAAGCCAAAGAACAUGAAGCUAUCUUUUGUAACUCUUCUUCUUGUGUGCCUUGUGCUCACCUCUUCUUUCUUUGAAGCCUCAAUGGCUCGUCCAGGUAUAUAUAUAAUUAUUUACAUUGUUCAAACCCAAGACAAAAUAUAUUAAUCCAUCGAAAUAAUGCUAGGUAAUCAAUAAAUUUUUUUUGAAUAAGAUGAAUAACCACCAAUCAAAUCAAAACACACUAUAUAUACCUUCAAAUUACCCUCUUAAAUCUUAAUAUUAGAAUAACCUACCAUUCGUACACCUAGUAAAAUGAACAUUCGAUAUAUUAAUUGUUCACAUUAUUUAAUAUUUUCAUUGUCUGUCUAUAACUCACAACUUUAAAUAUAUUGUCCAACACUUAUUUUGCAUUAUACUCUCAAGGCAAAAUAAUAAAAUAAUAAAGACACAUAUAUUAUAUCUUUCAAGAGGAAAAAAAAGUGAUUUGAAAAAAAAAAAUUUGAUAGCGAAGAGAGCUCAAAAUCGAAAUCAUAGCUAGUAACUCAUUCCCUAGAAGCUUGAUGGGAAAUAAAUAAAAAAUAAAAAAAAGUAAGCUAUAUGGGAAUAAUUAAAGUGAAUCAUGGAGUAACACUACUAAUCAAUACACACAUACAUUAUUAAUAUGAUAACAUUUUGACAAAGCCUAACUCAUAAAUAAUCUUCGCACUUUGUGAAUGAGCCUUCUGCACACAGGGCACACUUUGCUCUCUCCAUCCACAAUCCUGAAAAAUUAAAUAUGGACUCUAAAUAAUUGAAAAUCUACAUUUUUUAUUUUUAUUUUUGAGACACGGAUAUGAAAUUACAAGAUACCACAAUUUUUUUUUUAAUUUAACAUAUAAAAGUUAGUAAAAUAGUUAACGUAAAGUAUUAUAAAGACAAUACAAUGUACUUUAUUAAUUGCUUAAUAGAAUUUUACUUACUUAGGUAUAAAAAACCGAAGAAUUAGUAUUAAAAAGAAUAUUAAAUCUAAAAAUAUAUUUAAAUUAUGAGACUUAAUAUGCAUAUAAAAAUUUGAUUUUUAUGUAAUGAAAGUGUAAAAAAAAUUUACACAGAUAUCUAAUCGUGUAUUAUUAUGUCAGUAAAAAUAACUAAUUUUAAAUUCACUAAUUAAAAACUCAUCUAAAUGCACAAAUUUCAUUAGAUGGUCGUAUAAAAUUCUUUAUAUUAUCAGUAUAUUAAAAUUGAACUUAGUAUAUAAAUAUAUAAUAGAAAUUCUAGGGAUUAAUUUAAUUAUAUAAAGUAUGAAUGCAUAUAUACCUCUUUGCACAGGGAAAGCAAGUGGCAGAGUGGCCACAAGGAACAAAGAAGCAAUUUCUUUGUUCAUCAUAGCAAAUGACACACAAUUUCUCAUCAUAUAAUUCCUCUGAGGAGCAACUAGAACCAUCUUCUGAUGAUUCUUCUUCUUCAUCAUUUUUUGGAUUUGGCUUCACAUGAUGAUGAUGCAUCAUUGGUUCAGUAAUUUCUUGUGAUGAAGAAACUAAUACAUUAUUAUUGUUGUUGCUUGUGUCAAUUGUAACAUUACUAUUGUGAUUAUCAUUAUCAUUUUGAUUAUCAUAACCUCCAAGGCAUCUCAGUAUCAUGAAGAUAACAAUUAUACAAAGUCCUACAAAUUUAAAACAGGGCAAGUAAACUCUUUAGUUUAGUAUAAAACAUUAUCUAUUAGGCAUUCCAUUCCACAAUUAAAAUAUAUAAAUUUAAAAUAAUUAAACCUUUAAUCNNNNNNNNNNNNNNNNNNNNNNNNNNNNNNNNNNNNNNNNNNNNNAAUAAUAUAAUCUCUCAAAAUUUUAAAAUGACAAUUUUGAUCCUGGUUAAUGUUAAAAUGUAUGUUGUCGAAAUUGAUUACAAAGAUAUGACAAAUUUUGCAAAUUACAACUGAAUGGAGGGUUUAUUAACAGUUUUUUCCAAAAAAAAAUCAUAUAUCAAAGACAAUUUUGAUAUAAAAGUGUAAGGUUUUUGAGAAUUGACCUAUUUUAAUUUUACCUUGUGGAUUAAAAUAAAAAAAAUUCAACGAAUUUUAUUAUGUACUAAUAAUUGGCACAAAUUUUAAUUCAACAAUCUCCCAUAUCUCGAAUACGAGAUUUUAAUUCAAUUUUACCUAAAAUAGCUAUGUAGGCUAUCACACGAGUAAUGAACGAAACUUCAACAAACCAUUCUCCGUCAUUGUCGUCAUCGUUAUCAUCUACCUGUAAUCAAUUCAUCAUAAAAUUUUAUAGACAUGAUCUACAUUAUAUUAGGCUUUUUUAGUAUAGUAGUAUUAACAUCUUACAUUUUUUGGUGCAGUUAGAAUGAGAUAAUAUGUGUUGGGGAAGAGG
This 2461-nucleotide long non-coding RNA is filed under the name Arachis ipaensis. Its description in RNAcentral is "long non-coding RNA (AIPA_LNC001621)". The record is from RNAcentral. Lineage: Eukaryota; Viridiplantae; Streptophyta; Magnoliopsida; Fabales; Fabaceae.